Molecule: ribosomal RNA, 224 nt
Filed under: Allogromiina sp. 1202
Lineage: Eukaryota; Foraminifera; Allogromiidae
Description: partial 18S ribosomal RNA
Rfam family: Eukaryotic small subunit ribosomal RNA
Source: RNAcentral
GGGAAAACUUACCGGGUCCGGACACACUGAGGAUUGACAGGCGACCAUUUGUAAAUAUGCUAGUCCUUUCAUGAUUGUGUGAUAGGUGGUGCAUGGCCGUUCUUAGUUCGUGGAGUGAUCUGUCUGCUUAAUUGCGUUUCAGAUAAUUGGAGGUCAUGAGUAGGUCAGCGUGUCUGGGUAACACCAGUCAUCGCGGGCUGAGCUCGCCUCCUUGAAAGCAACGA